Molecule: ribosomal RNA, 497 nt
Filed under: uncultured bacterium
Lineage: Bacteria
Description: partial 16S ribosomal RNA
Rfam family: Bacterial small subunit ribosomal RNA
Source: RNAcentral
GAUGAACGCUGGCGGCGUGCCUAAUACAUGCAAGUCGAGCGAACAGACGAGGAGCUUGCUCCUCUGACGUUAGCGGCGGACGGGUGAGUAACACGUGGAUAACCUACCUAUAAGACUGGGAUAACUUCGGGAAACCGGAGCUAAUACCGGAUAAUAUCUUGAACCGCAUGGUUCAAUAGUGAAAUACGGUUUUUCUGUCACUUAUAGAUGGAUCCGCGCCGCAUUAGCUAGUUGGUAAGGUAACGGCUUACCAAGGCAACGAUGCGUAGCCGACCUGAGAGGGUGAUCGGCCACACUGGAACUGAGACACGGUCCAGACUCCUACGGGAGGCAGCAGUAGGGAAUCUUCCGCAAUGGGCGAAAGCUUGACGGAGCAACGCCGCGUGAGUGAUGAAGGUCUUCGGAUCGUAAAACUCUGUUAUUAGGGAAGAACAAAUGUGUAAGUAACUAUGCACGUCUUGACGGUACCUAAUCAGAAAGCCACGGCUAACUACGUG